ACAACAGGGAUUGCCUCAGUAACGGCGAGUGAAGCGGCAACAGCUCAAAUUUGAAAUCUGGCUCCUUCGGGGCCCGAGUUGUAAUUUGCAGAGGAUGCGUCGGGUACGGGUGCCUUCCGAGUUCCCUGGAACGGGACGCCAUAGAGGGUGAGAGCCCCGUCUGGUAGGAUACCCAGCCCGUGUGACGCUCCCUCGACGAGUCGAGUAGUUUGGGAAUGCUGCUCUAACGGGAGGUAUACUCCUUCCAAGGCUAAAUACCGGCUGGAGACCGAUAGCGCACAAGUAGAGUGAUCGAAAGAUGAAAAGCACUUUGAAAAGAGAGUCAAACAGCACGUGAAAUUGUUAAAAGGGAAGCGCUCGCUACCAGACUUGGGUUCGGCGGUUCAACCGGGGCCACGCCCCGGGGCAUUCCGCCGGCCCAGGCCAGCAUCAGCUUUCCGUCGGGGGUAAAGGCGUCGGGAAUGUGGCUCCCCUUCGGGGGAGUGUUAUAGCCCGUCGUGUCAUACCCUUCGGGGGGCUGAGGUACGCGCUUCUGCAAGGAUGCUGGCGUAAUGGUAGCUAGUGACCCGUCUUGAAACACGGACCAAGGAGUCAACCUUAUGUGCGAGUGCCCGGGCGUAAAACCCCAGCGCGGAAUGAAAGUGAACGUAGGUGAGAGCUUCGGCGCAUCACCGACCGAUCCUGAUGUCCUCGGACGGAUUUGAGUGAGAGCAUAUAGGGUUGGACCCGAAAGAAGAUGAACUAUGCGUGUGUAGGGUGAAGCCAGAGGAAACUCUGGUGGAGGCUCGCAGCGGUUCUGACGUGCAAAUCGAUCGUCAAACAUGCGCAUGGGGGGCGAAAGACUAAUCGAAUCUUCUGGUAGCUGGUUUCCGCAG
RNAcentral lists this ribosomal RNA (875 nucleotides) under Plectosphaerella cucumerina. Its description in RNAcentral is "LSU rRNA". It matches the Rfam family "Eukaryotic large subunit ribosomal RNA", at positions 65 to 963 of the family's 3401-position model. The record is from RNAcentral. Lineage: Eukaryota; Fungi; Ascomycota; Sordariomycetes; Glomerellales; Plectosphaerellaceae.